RNAcentral lists this ribosomal RNA (232 nucleotides) under uncultured bacterium. Its description in RNAcentral is "partial 16S ribosomal RNA". It matches the Rfam family "Bacterial small subunit ribosomal RNA", at positions 524 to 755 of the family's 1533-position model. The record is from RNAcentral.
UACGUAGGGUGCAAGCGUUGUCCGGAAUUAUUGGGCGUAAAGAGCUCGUUAGGCGGUUUGUCGCGUCUGCUGUGAAAAUCCAGGGCUCAACCCUGGACCUGCAGUGGGUACGGGCAGACUAGAGUGCGGUAGGGGAGAUCGGAAUUCCUGGUGUAGCGGUGAAAUGCGCAGAUAUCAGGAGGAACACCGGUGGCGAAGGCGGAUCUCUGGGCCGUAACUGACGCUGGAGACG